GUACACGCUGUGACUAGCAUAUCAAUAAGCGGAGGAAAAGAAACUAACAAGGAUCCCCUAGUAACGGCGAGUGAAGCGGGAAGAGCUCAAAUUUGAAAUCUUAAAGGGUUUCCCUUUACGAAUUGUAGUUUAAAGAAGUGUUUUCUGUUGAGGUUUUGGUAAAAGUUCUUUGGAAUAGGACAUCAUAGAGGGUGAGAAUCCCGUAUUUGACCUUUACUUUCAACUUUGUGAUACACUUUCAAAGAGUCGGAUUGUUUGGGAAUACAGUCCAAAAUGGGUGGUAAAUUUCAUCUAAAGCUAAAUAUUGGCGAGAGACCGAUAGCGAACAAGUACCGUGAGGGAAAGAUGAAAAGAACUUUGAAAGGAGAGUUAAACAGUACGUGAAAUUGUCAAAAGGGAAGCGUUUGACACCAGUGUUGUUUUUCUGAAAAUCAAUUAAAGAACUGUUUAUGCUAAGCUGUUUAGACUUUAUCAGCUAUCUGUUUAGUUUUAGGCUUUUCUUUAAUGCACUUUUCAGUUAACAAGUCAACAUCAAUUUCUUUUGCUGUAAAAAAGCUUGAGGAAGGUGGCUUGAGAUUCGUCUUAAGUGUUUAUAGCCUCUUGCCUAUGCAGUCGGAGAGAUUGAGGUCUGCAGCGUAGAUCCUUCGGGGCUAAAUGCAUUUGUGCUAAGUUAUAGCAUUUUAUAGACAACUUGUUGACUAUGAUUUGUCUUGUAGCUUACUCGCUUAUGUUAUUUUACCUACGCUUAGGAUGUUGAGUCGUAGAGCACGCAG
RNAcentral lists this ribosomal RNA (773 nucleotides) under uncultured Neocallimastigales. Its description in RNAcentral is "partial large subunit ribosomal RNA". It matches the Rfam family "Eukaryotic large subunit ribosomal RNA", at positions 22 to 628 of the family's 3401-position model. The record is from RNAcentral. Lineage: Eukaryota; Fungi; Neocallimastigomycota; Neocallimastigomycetes; Neocallimastigales.